GAUGAAUGUCAUAAAUAUAUAUCAAAUAGUUAUUUAGGGAACUUCAUAAGUUUGAACGUUCUGCUGUUUCAAACAGAUUUUCAUAAAUUUGAAUGCCCGCUAUGUUAAUUUAGCGUAUUUCAAAGUCGGCUUUAAUGACUCGACCAUUUGUUGAAUUUCAUAAAAAGAGUCGAAUGGUGCAAAAGUUAUGAAAAGUUGACUAUUUUUUAAAUGACAUCACAGAGAACACGAUACUUUAUAUAUUUUACGUCCCUUUCCAAUCAGGAGAUUACUAAGGGGCGGGGGCAAGUUCCAACCACGGGCUGCACCCAGACCCGUGGAGGAGGGCCGGAUGGUGAAGGACAGAGAUCUCCGGGUCGGGCCCAGCUCCCUGAAAAACUUUUCAGGAAUUGUCACCCAGGACGCGAACCCGGGG
This 415-nucleotide long non-coding RNA is filed under the name Androctonus crassicauda. The record is from RNAcentral. Lineage: Eukaryota; Metazoa; Arthropoda; Arachnida; Scorpiones; Buthidae.